GGGAAGUGGCGCAGCCUACACAUGCAGUCCGAACGGUAGCACAGAAGAAGCUUGCUUCCUCCGGGUGACGAAGUGGCGGACGGGUGAGUAAUGUCUGGGAAACUGCCUGAUGGAGGGGGAUAACUACUGGAAACGGUAGCUAAUACCGCAUAACGUCGCAAGACCAAAGAGGGGGACCUUCGGGCCUCUUGCCAUCAGAUGUGCCCAGAUGGGAUUAGCUAGUAGGUGGGGUAACGGCUCACCUAGGCGACGAUCCCUAGCUGGUCUGAGAGGAUGACCAGCCACACUGGAACUGAGACACGGUCCAGACUCCUACGGGAGGCAGCAGUGGGGAAUAUUGCACAAUGGGCGCAAGCCUGAUGCAGCCAUGCCGCGUGUAUGAAGAAGGCCUUCGGGUUGUAAAGUACUUUCAGCGGGGAGGAAGGUGAUGAGGUUAAUAACCUUGUCGAUUGACGUUACCCGCAGAAGAAGCACCGGCUAACUCCGUGCCAGCAGCCGCGGUAAUACGGAGGGUGCAAGCGUUAAUCGGAAUUACUGGGCGUAAAGCGCACGCAGGCGGUCUGUCAAGUCGGAUGUGAAAUCCCCGGGCUCAACCUGGGAACUGCAUUCGAAACUGGCAGGCUAGAGUCUUGUAGAGGGGGGUAGAAUUCCAGGUGUAGCGGUGAAAUGCGUAGAGAUCUGGAGGAAUACCGGUGGCGAA
RNAcentral lists this ribosomal RNA (700 nucleotides) under Klebsiella oxytoca. RNAcentral describes it as "bacterial SSU rRNA". It matches the Rfam family "Bacterial small subunit ribosomal RNA", at positions 34 to 719 of the family's 1533-position model. The record is from RNAcentral. Lineage: Bacteria; Pseudomonadati; Pseudomonadota; Gammaproteobacteria; Enterobacterales; Enterobacteriaceae.